CUAUAAUCGGAAAUCCACGACGACCUUCAUCGAGGUUCAAUAAAAUAAACACUUUGAUAGGACACUUCAGGCGAACUAGCAGCUUAAUUUAACUGAACCUGACCAUCUCAUAUGUAGUACAUCCAAAAUAUUUCUCCCAUUACACUGGCCCAAAACAUUAAUGUUUUUCUUGUUCGCAUUUACUCGACUAUAUUCAUCUAUAAAUCAGCAUCAAGUCGUCGACAAAGUUUUGCAAAUUUUUGCUGACCUUAGUAAGGGGCGGACCAUUUGAUUUUUGAGUGGAGGGGGAGGUUGGAAUUAGAUUUCGAAAAAAAAUUUCCUGCAAUCCAAGGAGAAAGAAGAAAAAAAAUCAUGCAGCAUACAAUCGAGAAAAAAAAUAUCAUGCAAAAGAGAGCGCUCAAAAAAAAUUUCUACAUGUAAAUCUACCGACGUUCUUCACUUCAGUAUUGUGUCCACAGGCUUACAAGAUAUUGCAUUUCUGAGCAGGC
This is a non-coding RNA of Paramuricea clavata, 488 nucleotides long. NCBI's taxonomy places the organism in Eukaryota, Metazoa, Cnidaria, Anthozoa, Malacalcyonacea, Plexauridae. The record is from the annotation of a GenBank genome assembly.